GGAGUGCUUGCACUCUGUGAAACAAGAUACAGGCUAGCGGCGGACGGGUGAGUAACACGUGGGUAACCUGCCCAAGAGAUCGGGAUAACACCUGGAAACAGAUGCUAAUACCGGAUAACAACAGAUGAUGCCUAUCAACUGUUUAAAAGAUGGUUCUGCUAUCACUCUUGGAUGGACCUGCGGCGCAUUAGCUAGUUGGUAGGGUAACGGCCUACCAAGGCGAUGAUGCAUAGCCGAGUUGAGAGACUGAUCGGCCACAUUGGGACUGAGACACGGCCCAAACUCCUACGGGAGGCAGCAGUAGGGAAUCUUCCACAAUGGACGCAAGUCUGAUGGAGCAACGCCGCGUGAGUGAAGAAGGGUUUCGGCUCGUAAAGCUCUGUUGUUGGUGAAGAAGGACAGGGGUAGUAACUGACCUUUGUUUGACGGUAAUCAAUUAGAAAGUCACGGCUAACUACGUGCCAGCAGCCGCGGUAAUACGUAGGUGGCAAGCGUUGUCCGGAUUUAUUGGGCGUAAAGCGAGUGCAGGCGGCUCGAUAAGUCUGAUGUGAAAGCCUUCGGCUCAACCGGAGAAUUGCAUCAGAAACUGUCGAGCUUGAGUACAGAAGAGGAGAGUGGAACUCCAUGUGUAGCGGUGAAAUGCGUAGAUAUAUGGAAGAACACCGGUGGCGAAGGCGGCUCUCUGGUCUGUUACUGACGCUGAGGCUCGAAAGCAUGGGUAGCGAACAGGAUUAGAUACCCUGGUAGUCCAUGCCGUANACGAUGAGUGCUAAGUGUUGGGAGGUUUCCGCCUCUCAGUGCUGCAGCUAACGCAUUAAGCACUCCGCCUGGGGAGUACGACCGCAAGGUUGAAAC
Molecule: ribosomal RNA, 855 nt
Filed under: uncultured bacterium
Lineage: Bacteria
Description: bacterial SSU rRNA
Rfam family: Bacterial small subunit ribosomal RNA
Source: RNAcentral